GCUAUUCACAGUAACAUGACAGAAGUAGAAGAGUAAGAGAAGAGAAAAAGUCAUUCUAUGAUAUUAUAUGGUAGUGACAUGUCCAGAGAAUAGUGGGUAGUUAAGUGUGGAUCAGAGUAGUCCACAGGGUGAAAUGAGGUUGGAAUCAAAGCUGGUCCCAGGAAAUAAUGAAAGAGGAUGAAAAAUUUUCCAAAGAUAAGCUUGCAAGAAAUAUAAAGAGUAAUAAUAGGGUAAGAGGAGAAAAAUAGCAUGCUUGAUCAGCCAUGAGUAGAAGGGGAAGUGUAAUAAAGAAUUUUAGGGCAAUGUGUUUGGGAGAUAAGGCUAGAGAAACAAGCAGUUGCCAGAUGAUAGUGGGCACUGUAUGUCUUGUUAAAGAUUUGAAAUUUAUUCUUUGGGCAAUGUAGAAACAUCAAAAAGUGUUAAAUAAGGGAUAGAUUUAGUCAAAUUUGCUUCUGGUCAUGAAUGACCUGUUUUCUCAGGGGAGCUUAGGUCAAGAAAGUUUAGAAGAGAGUAAUGGCAGCUGGGUGCAGUGAUGCAUGCCUGUAAUCCCAUUGCUCCAGAGACAGACAGGAGGAUUGCAAAUUCAAAGCCAGUCUCAGCAAUUUAGCAAGGCCCUAAGCAACUUAGUGAGACCCUAUCUCAAAUUAAAAAUUGAAAAGGGCUGGGGAUGUGGCUCAGUGAUUAAGUGCCCUUGGGUUCAAUGCCUGCUACCAAAAAAGUACGGCAGUUUAGGGACUCCAGGCAGAUGUUUGCUGAAAGCCAGAAGUUUGAGCAGAGGUGCCUGGGGACUGGAUGAAGCCAGACCUCAGUGAAAGUAACAGGGACUUUCCUGGGUUCUGAUUAAAAGCUAAGAACCUCUAGCCUGGUGCAGUGGCAUGCCUGAAAUUCCUACUUGGGAAACUGAGGCAGGAGGAUUACUUGAUCCCAGAAGUUUGAAAUUAGCCUGUGCAACAUAGAGAGAUCCUGUCUCAAAAGGGUCCCUCCCAAAAUGAACUAAGAAUCUCAGUUGCUGGGCAUGGUGGUGAAUGCCUGUAAUCCCAGCGGCUUAGGAGGAUGAGACAGGAGGAUUGCAAGUUCAAAGCCAGCCUCAGCAAUUUAGGGAGGCCCUAAGCAACUCAUUGAGA
Molecule: long non-coding RNA, 1124 nt
Filed under: Marmota monax (woodchuck)
Lineage: Eukaryota; Metazoa; Chordata; Mammalia; Rodentia; Sciuridae
Source: RNAcentral